Molecule: ribosomal RNA, 2931 nt
Filed under: Escherichia coli
Lineage: Bacteria; Pseudomonadati; Pseudomonadota; Gammaproteobacteria; Enterobacterales; Enterobacteriaceae
Description: bacterial LSU rRNA
Rfam family: Bacterial large subunit ribosomal RNA
Source: RNAcentral
GGGUUGUGAGGUUAAGCGACUAAGCGUACACGGUGGAUGCCCUGGCAGUCAGAGGCGAUGAAGGACGUGCUAAUCUGCGAUAAGCGUCGGUAAGGUGAUAUGAACCGUUAUAACCGGCGAUUUCCGAAUGGGGAAACCCAGUGUGUUUCGACACACUAUCAUUAACUGAAUCCAUAGGUUAAUGAGGCGAACCGGGGGAACUGAAACAUCUAAGUACCCCGAGGAAAAGAAAUCAACCGAGAUUCCCCCAGUAGCGGCGAGCGAACGGGGAGCAGCCCAGAGCCUGAAUCAGUGUGUGUGUUAGUGGAAGCGUCUGGAAAGGCGCGCGAUACAGGGUGACAGCCCCGUACACAAAAAUGCACAUGCUGUGAGCUCGAUGAGUAGGGCGGGACACGUGGUAUCCUGUCUGAAUAUGGGGGGACCAUCCUCCAAGGCUAAAUACUCCUGACUGACCGAUAGUGAACCAGUACCGUGAGGGAAAGGCGAAAAGAACCCCGGCGAGGGGAGUGAAAAAGAACCUGAAACCGUGUACGUACAAGCAGUGGGAGCACGCUUAGGCGUGUGACUGCGUACCUUUUGUAUAAUGGGUCAGCGACUUAUAUUCUGUAGCAAGGUUAACCGAAUAGGGGAGCCGAAGGGAAACCGAGUCUUAACUGGGCGUUAAGUUGCAGGGUAUAGACCCGAAACCCGGUGAUCUAGCCAUGGGCAGGUUGAAGGUUGGGUAACACUAACUGGAGGACCGAACCGACUAAUGUUGAAAAAUUAGCGGAUGACUUGUGGCUGGGGGUGAAAGGCCAAUCAAACCGGGAGAUAGCUGGUUCUCCCCGAAAGCUAUUUAGGUAGCGCCUCGUGAAUUCAUCUCUGGGGGUAGAGCACUGUUUCGGCAAGGGGGUCAUCCCGACUUACCAACCCGAUGCAAACUGCGAAUACCGGAGAAUGUUAUCACGGGAGACACACGGCGGGUGCUAACGUCCGUCGUGAAGAGGGAAACAACCCAGACCGCCAGCUAAGGUCCCAAAGUCAUGGUUAAGUGGGAAACGAUGUGGGAAGGCCCAGACAGCCAGGAUGUUGGCUUAGAAGCAGCCAUCAUUUAAAGAAAGCGUAAUAGCUCACUGGUCGAGUCGGCCUGCGCGGAAGAUGUAACGGGGCUAAACCAUGCACCGAAGCUGCGGCAGCGACGCUGAUGCGUUGUUGGGUAGGGGAGCGUUCUGUAAGCCUGUGAAGGUGUGCUGUGAGGCAUGCUGGAGGUAUCAGAAGUGCGAAUGCUGACAUAAGUAACGAUAAAGCGGGUGAAAAGCCCGCUCGCCGGAAGACCAAGGGUUCCUGUCCAACGUUAAUCGGGGCAGGGUGAGUCGACCCCUAAGGCGAGGCCGAAAGGCGUAGUCGAUGGGAAACAGGUUAAUAUUCCUGUACUUGGUGUUACUGCGAAGGGGGGACGGAGAAGGCUAUGUUGGCCGGGCGACGGUUGUCCCGGUUUAAGCGUGUAGGCUGGUUUUCCAGGCAAAUCCGGAAAAUCAAGGCUGAGGCGUGAUGACGAGGCACUACGGUGCUGAAGCAACAAAUGCCCUGCUUCCAGGAAAAGCCUCUAAGCAUCAGGUAACAUCAAAUCGUACCCCAAACCGACACAGGUGGUCAGGUAGAGAAUACCAAGGCGCUUGAGAGAACUCGGGUGAAGGAACUAGGCAAAAUGGUGCCGUAACUUCGGGAGAAGGCACGCUGAUAUGUAGGUGAAGUCCCUUGCGGAUGGAGCUGAAAUCAGUCGAAGAUACCAGCUGGCUGCAACUGUUUAUUAAAAACACAGCACUGUGCAAACACGAAAGUGGACGUAUACGGUGUGACGCCUGCCCGGUGCCGGAAGGUUAAUUGAUGGGGUCAGCGCAAGCGAAGCUCUUGAUCGAAGCCCCGGUAAACGGCGGCCGUAACUAUAACGGUCCUAAGGUAGCGAAAUUCCUUGUCGGGUAAGUUCCGACCUGCACGAAUGGCGUAAUGAUGGCCAGGCUGUCUCCACCCGAGACUCAGUGAAAUUGAACUCGCUGUGAAGAUGCAGUGUACCCGCGGCAAGACGGAAAGACCCCGUGAACCUUUACUAUAGCUUGACACUGAACAUUGAGCCUUGAUGUGUAGGAUAGGUGGGAGGCUUUGAAGUGUGGACGCCAGUCUGCAUGGAGCCGACCUUGAAAUACCACCCUUUAAUGUUUGAUGUUCUAACGUUGACCCGUAAUCCGGGUUGCGGACAGUGUCUGGUGGGUAGUUUGACUGGGGCGGUCUCCUCCUAAAGAGUAACGGAGGAGCACGAAGGUUGGCUAAUCCUGGUCGGACAUCAGGAGGUUAGUGCAAUGGCAUAAGCCAGCUUGACUGCGAGCGUGACGGCGCGAGCAGGUGCGAAAGCAGGUCAUAGUGAUCCGGUGGUUCUGAAUGGAAGGGCCAUCGCUCAACGGAUAAAAGGUACUCCGGGGAUAACAGGCUGAUACCGCCCAAGAGUUCAUAUCGACGGCGGUGUUUGGCACCUCGAUGUCGGCUCAUCACAUCCUGGGGCUGAAGUAGGUCCCAAGGGUAUGGCUGUUCGCCAUUUAAAGUGGUACGCGAGCUGGGUUUAGAACGUCGUGAGACAGUUCGGUCCCUAUCUGCCGUGGGCGCUGGAGAAUUGAGGGGGGCUGCUCCUAGUACGAGAGGACCGGAGUGGACGCAUCACUGGUGUUCGGGUUGUCAUGCCAAUGGCACUGCCCGGUAGCUAAAUGCGGAAGAGAUAAGUGCUGAAAGCAUCUAAGCACGAAACUUGCCCCGAGAUGAGUUCUCCCUGACUCCUUGAGAGUCCUGAAGGAACGUUGAAGACGACGACGUUGAUAGGCCGGGUGUGUAAGCGCAGCGAUGCGUUGAGCUAACCGGUACUAAUGAACCGUGAGGCUUAACCUUACAACGCCGAAGGUGUUU